RNAcentral lists this ribosomal RNA (502 nucleotides) under uncultured bacterium. RNAcentral describes it as "partial 16S ribosomal RNA". It matches the Rfam family "Bacterial small subunit ribosomal RNA", at positions 28 to 507 of the family's 1533-position model. The record is from RNAcentral.
GACGAACGCUGGCGGCGUGCCUAGUACAUGCAAGUCGAACGAACCGCGACUGAGUGCUUGCACUUGGUCAAGGUGAGUGGCGGACGGGUGAGUAACACGUGGGUAACCUACCUCAUAGUGGGGGAUAACAGUCGGAAACGACUGCUAAUACCGCAUAGGACAUAGGAUCACAUGAUCCAGUGAGGAAAGGUGGCGCAAGCUAUCGCUAAGAGAUGGACCCGCGGUGCAUUAGCUAGUUGGUAGGGUAAAGGCCUACCAAGGCGAUGAUGCAUAGCCGACCUGAGAGGGUGAUCGGCCACAUUGGGACUGAGACACGGCCCAAACUCCUACGGGAGGCAGCAGUAGGGAAUCUUCCGCAAUGGACGCAAGUCUGACGGAGCAACGCCGCGUGAGUGAAGAAGGUCUUCGGAUCGUAAAGCUCUGUUGUUAGAGAAGAACAGCGCAUAGAGUAACUGCUAUGCGUGUGACGGUAUCUAACCAGAAAGCCACGGCUAACUACGUG